CCGUAGGGUGAACCUGCGGAGGGAUCAUUACCGAGUUUUCAACUCCCUAACCCUUAUGUGAACCUACCUAUUGUUGCUUCGGCGGACUCGCCCCAGCCGGACGCGGACUGGACCAGCGGCCGCCGGGGACCCUCAAACUCUUGUAUUAUCAGCAUCUUCUGAAUACGCCGCAAGGCAAAACAAAUAAAUCAAAACUUUCAACAACGGAUCUCUUGGCUCUGGCAUCGAUGAAGAACGCAGCGAAACGCGAUAAGUAAUGUGAAUUGCAGAAUCCAGUGAAUCAUCGAAUCUUUGAACGCACAUUGCGCCCGCCAGCAUUCUGGCGGGCAUGCCUGUUCGAGCGUCAUUUCAACCCUCGACCUCCCUUUGGGGAAGUCGGCGUUGGGGACCGGCAGCACACCGCCGGCCCUGAAAUGGAGUGGCGGCCCGUCCGCGGCGACCUCUGCGUAGUAAUCCAACUCGCACCGGAACCCCGACGCGGCCACGCCGUAAAACACCCAACUUCUGAACGUGACCUCGAAUCAGGAGACCCAUGAACUUAAACAAAAAAAAUAAAAAGAUAG
RNAcentral lists this ribosomal RNA (563 nucleotides) under Beauveria brongniartii. Its description in RNAcentral is "partial 5.8S ribosomal RNA". The stretch from base 193 to 346 matches the Rfam family "5.8S ribosomal RNA". The record is from RNAcentral. Lineage: Eukaryota; Fungi; Ascomycota; Sordariomycetes; Hypocreales; Cordycipitaceae.